Molecule: unclassified non-coding RNA, 205 nt
Filed under: Hevea brasiliensis (rubber tree)
Lineage: Eukaryota; Viridiplantae; Streptophyta; Magnoliopsida; Malpighiales; Euphorbiaceae
Source: RNAcentral
AAAGCUUUCAAUAAUCAAUCUUCUUCUUCGAAACCUCGAAACUGUUCUUGCAAGAAGGCGAUCGACCUACUCAAUAUGUCCAAACUAUGAAAUAACAGGAAUACCUAUUUGGCAUCAAAAUCCUUCAGCUUCAAUCAGAUUUUUGCGGCCUGAGAAGUUGAGGAGUUCCAUUCAUGCUUCAAGAGCAGUGCAUAAAGAAGUUCAU